AAACCGGAGGAAGGUGGGGAUGACGUCAAGUCAUCAUGGCCCUAACGGCCAGGGCUACACACGUGCUACAAUGGCGUAUACAGAGGGAAGCGACCUCGCGAGAGCAAGCGGAACCCAAAAAGUACGUCGUAGUCCGGAUCGGAGUCUGCAACUCGACUCCGUGAAGUCGGAAUCGCUAGUAAUCGCAAAUCAGAAUGUUGCGGUGAAUACGUUCCCGGGCCUUGUACACACCGCCCGUCACACCAUGGGAGUGGGUUGCACCAGAAGUAGUUAGUCUAACCUUCGGGAGGACGAUUACCACGGUGUGAUUCAUGACUGGGGUGAAGUCGUAACAAGGUAACCA
This 343-nucleotide ribosomal RNA is filed under the name uncultured bacterium. Its description in RNAcentral is "bacterial SSU rRNA". It matches the Rfam family "Bacterial small subunit ribosomal RNA", at positions 1160 to 1502 of the family's 1533-position model. The record is from RNAcentral.